CUCUACUUCUGUCCUUCAGUUGAAGUGGAAUAGAAUGUUCCCUCUACUUCUGUCCUUCAGUUGAAGUGGAAUAGAAUGUUCCCUCUACUUCUGUCCUUCAGUUGAAGUGGAAUAGAAUGUUCCCUCUACUUCUGUCCUUCAGUUGAAGGUGAAUAGAAUGUGCCCUCUACUCCUCUUUCAGUUGAAGGGGAAUAGAAUGUUCCCUCUACUUCUGUCCUUCAGUUGAAGUGGAAUAGAAUGUUCCCUCUACUUCUGUCCUUCAGUUGAAGUGGAAUAGAAUGUUCCCUCUACUUCUGUCCUUCAGUUGAAGUGGAAUAGAAUGUUCCCUCUACUUCUGUCCUUCAGUUGAAGGUGAAUAGAAUGUGCCCUCUACUCCUCUUUCAGUUGAAGGGGAAUAGAAUGUUCCCUCUACUUCUGUCCUUCAGUUGAAGGUGAAUAGAAUGUUCCGUCUACUUCUGUCCUUCAGUUGAAGGGGAAUAGAAUGUUCCCUCUACUCCUCUUUCAGUUGAAGGAGAAUAGAAUGUUCCCUCUACUUCUGUUCUUCAGUUGAAGGAGAAUAGAAUGUUCCCUCUACUUCUGUCCUUCAGUUGAAGGGGAAUAGAAUGUUCCCUCUACUCCUCUUUCAGUUGAAGGUGAAUAGAAUGUUCUGUCUACUUCUGUCCUUCAGUUGAAGGAGAAUAGAAUGUUCCCUCUACUCCUCUUUCAGUUGAAGGUGAAUAGAAUGUUCCGUCUACUUCUGUCCUUCAGUUGAAGGUGAAUAGAAUGUUCCCUCUACUCCUCUUUCAGUUGAAGGUGAAUAGAAUGUUCCGUCUACUUCUGUCCUUCAGUUGAAGGUGAAUAGAAUGUUCCCUCUACUCCUCUUUCAGUUGAAGGAGAAUAGAAUGUUCCCUCUACUUCUGUCCUUCAGUUGAAGGACAAUAGAAUGUUCCCUCUACUCCUCUUUCAGUUGAAGGAGAAUAGAAUGUUCCCUCUACUUCUGUCCUUCAGUUGAAGGGGAAUAGAAUGUUCCCUCUACUUCUGUCCUUCAGUUGAAGGGGAAUAGAAUGUUCCCUCUACUCCUCUUUCAGUUGAAGGAGAAUAGAAUGUUCCCUCUACUUCUGUCUUUCAGUUGAAGGACAAUAGAAUGUUCCCUCUACUCCUCUUUCAGUUGAAGGGGAA
Long non-coding RNA from Oncorhynchus keta (chum salmon), 1158 nucleotides. RefSeq lists it as uncharacterized. The record is from RefSeq and is a predicted model, not a curated record. NCBI's taxonomy places the organism in Eukaryota, Metazoa, Chordata, Actinopteri, Salmoniformes, Salmonidae. The transcript has 3 exons.